RNA transcript from Eucalyptus grandis, 1370 nucleotides. It is a transcript of the gene named mitochondrial adenine nucleotide transporter ADNT1-like, with no coding region annotated. The transcript has 8 exons. NCBI's taxonomy places the organism in Eukaryota, Viridiplantae, Streptophyta, Magnoliopsida, Myrtales, Myrtaceae. The record is from RefSeq and is a predicted model, not a curated record.
AUGGCGUCGGAGGACGUGGUCAGCGAGAGGGAGUCCGCCGUGUCGACGAUCGUCAACCUGGCGGAGGAGGCCAGCGAGGGCGUGAAGGCGCCCAGCCACGCUCUUCUCAGCAUCUGCAAGUCGCUCGUGGCCGGCGGAGUGGCCGGCGGAGUGUCACGUACUGCUGUUGCUCCAUUGGAGAGAUUAAAAAUAUUGCUGCAGGUUCAGAAUCCUCAUAGCAUAAAGUACAACGGAACAAUGCAAGGCCUAAAAUACAUAUGGAGAACUGAGGGUUUAAGGGGAUUGUUCAAAGGCAAUGGCACUAAUUGUGCUCGUAUUGUUCCCAAUUCAGCUGUCAAGUUCUUCAGCUAUGAGCAGGCAUCUCACGGCAUUUUAUGGCUUUAUCGGCAGCAACCUGGGAAAGAAGAUGCACAGCUAACUCCUCUUUUUACGCCUGGGAGCUGGUGCAUGUGCUGGAAUUAUUGCCAUGUCUGCGACAUAUCCAAUGGACAUGGUACGCGGACAGAGAAGUCUCCGACAGUAUAGAGGAAUUUAUCAUGCUCUUUCAACUGUCUUCAAGGAAGAAGGCCCUAGGGCAUUGUACAGAGGCUGGCUUCCUUCUGUAAUAGGAGUUGUUCCUUAUGUAGGUCUGAACUUCGCUGUGUAUGAAUCCUUGAAAGACUAUUUACUUCAAACCAACCCAUUGGGACUGGUUGAGGACAACGAGCUAAGUGUGACAACGAGGCUUGCAUGCGGUGCUGCUGGCGGGGACUAUUGGUCAGACGGUAGCUUACCCUCUUGAUGUCAUCAGGGCGAAGAAUGCAAAUGGUUGGCUGGAAAGGUGCUUCUUCAGUUAUAGUUGGUGAAGGGAGGAGUAAGGCACCACUCGAAUACACUGGCAUGGUUGAUGCAUUUAGGAAGACUGUUCGUUAUGAGGGAUUUGGAGCAUUAUACAAGGGUUUGGUCCCCAAUUCAGUAAAGGUCGUUCCAUCGAUAGCUAUUGCCUUCGUCACAUAUGAAGUGGUUAAGGACGUUCUUGGAGUGGAGAUGAGGAUAUCCGACUGAAGGGAGAAGCAUUCAAGUAAUUCUUUUCUUUGACUUAUGGCUUAUUUCCAAGGCAAAAGGUUGAGAGGCUUGAUGGGAGUACAUUCCGAGAUUAUUUAUGAUCAGGUAGAGAGGAAUCUAGAGAUCCGUUGAUAUAUGUAGUCCAUAUUUUGUCCCUCCAUCUUAGGCUUUUUUUUUUUCUCCCUCUUUUCCUUUUCUCUCUUCUUACGUGGAAAUAAAUUGUUCGCCAGGGGCUUUCGAGAAAAUUCUGUAGAACUGAAUCCUGGGUUUUAUGUUUGUGAUUAAAAUUUAUGGCCAUGCUCUACGCGUACUGUUUCAGUCUGUCA